Long non-coding RNA from Balaenoptera musculus (blue whale), 386 nucleotides. RefSeq lists it as uncharacterized. The transcript has 2 exons. The record is from RefSeq and is a predicted model, not a curated record. NCBI's taxonomy places the organism in Eukaryota, Metazoa, Chordata, Mammalia, Artiodactyla, Balaenopteridae.
CGGGGUAGAUAUAGUUGAGAUCACACUUUCCCUGAGCGGAGAGCUACAGCAACUUUCCUGGCUUGUUCCUUGAGCUCUCUCCCCAAGACAUUGGCCAUGCAAAGUGGUGUUUUCAGCGUACGAAAAACCCCUCCAAGAAUGCUUCUAAAAGAAGCUGCUCUCUUCAAGGAAAAAAUCAAGAAGCAGAAAUCAUGAGACCUGGGAAACAAGAGAUCCAACAAAGGAGAAAGGAGCAGAAAAUGCUAAGAGUAAGAAGGAAUUGGAGUCCUAAAACUAAUCUGAUAAGAACAGCCAGAUGAAACUGGAGCUGAGAGAGAAUACCCCAGGAAGGAAACUAAAAAGACAAAGUCAAACAAAUGAACAAAUAAACAAAGAAAAAAACCUGA